Molecule: ribosomal RNA, 262 nt
Filed under: uncultured archaeon
Lineage: Archaea
Description: partial 16S ribosomal RNA
Rfam family: Archaeal small subunit ribosomal RNA
Source: RNAcentral
CACUGACAUUAGAUACCCGUGUAGUCCAGGGUGUAAACGCUGCAGACUUGGUGUUGGGGGCCCUUUGGGGGCAUUCAGUGCCGGAGAGAAGUUGUUAAGUCUGCUACUUGGGAGUACGUCCGCAAGGAUGAAACUUAAAGGAAUUGGCGGGGGAACACCGCAACGGGAGGAGCGUGCGGUUUAAUUGGAUUCAACACCGUAAAACUCACCAGGGAAGACUGUUACAUGAAGGCCGAGAUGAAGACUCUGCUAGAUUUUUCAG